GUGAUAAUUGGACAACAGGAUUGCUAAAGUCCCUUCCGGCACUAACAUUCCACGAGUCUAUGAUUCUAUGCAGUAGACAUCCAGCAUACAUGGGGGCUAAUGAUAGGAAUGAAAAUCAAGGAAAAUGUUCACGUUUUACAAUGGUGGUGCUGAAAAGAGAGUCCAGGAAUCAUCAAGUUAUUUCUGCUAAAGUCCUGUCUUCCUUAACUGACUUGUUCAAGUCCUGCCAGCAGGGGACAGCAGUGCUUCAUGUUUCAAAAAACCAAACUAGUGUGGUUUUAUGGCCUUCAGCUCCUUCAGGAUGCCUGGGGAGAGCCUUAUUCUGGCGGUGCAUGACCACACUAGACUCCAGUAGGUCAAGAAUACUUCAAUGACAGAUGGCAGACAGUGGAUUCCAUGAGACUCUGACACGGCACGGCCACCAGGAAAUCCAAACUGGACAGUAUAUACUAAUGCCCUUUGGGGCCCCACAAGGAGGUAAAUUUCCUUCUCUGGAUAACCAGAGCUGAGCAUCUAAAAACAGCCUCAAGGAACAGUUAGCCUUCAACUGAAAAGAUAACAUAAUAGGUCAUGGACGUGGUUAGAAAGCAUGUGGGAAUCUAAUCUAUAGAUAGUGUGGUGCCACGAAAAGGCCACUAUAUUUGGAGUUUAAAGAUCUGAGUUCAAAUUCUACCUAUGCCUCUAACCAUCUGUAUAACUCUGGACAAGUCACUUCUCUAGGUCUCAGUUUCUUUCUUGGAGAUAGUCAAUAAACAUUUGUUAAGCACCUACUGUGUGCCA
RNAcentral lists this long non-coding RNA (780 nucleotides) under Monodelphis domestica (gray short-tailed opossum). RNAcentral's name for it is "lncRNA (ENSMODG00000036299.2)". Lineage: Eukaryota; Metazoa; Chordata; Mammalia; Didelphimorphia; Didelphidae. The record is from RNAcentral.